RNAcentral lists this non-coding RNA (30 nucleotides) under Mus musculus (house mouse). Lineage: Eukaryota; Metazoa; Chordata; Mammalia; Rodentia; Muridae. The record is from RNAcentral.
UGCCAGGUCUGUAGCACUCCAGAUAUUUCC